RNAcentral lists this non-coding RNA (45 nucleotides) under Schistosoma mattheei. The record is from RNAcentral. Lineage: Eukaryota; Metazoa; Platyhelminthes; Trematoda; Strigeidida; Schistosomatidae.
AUCCAGCUGACAAGUCCCAAAUAGGACGAGACGCACGAUCUGGAU